RNAcentral lists this long non-coding RNA (528 nucleotides) under Rattus norvegicus (Norway rat). RNAcentral describes it as "long non-coding RNA NONRATT033530". Lineage: Eukaryota; Metazoa; Chordata; Mammalia; Rodentia; Muridae. The record is from RNAcentral.
CGCUAGAAGGAAGUUUGGUGAGAAAAGAUGAAAGGACGAUUAAAGACAUGCCCAAUGAUUUUCUCUUCCGAUUUAAAACUGUGGAGAUGAACAUUAUAUAAGAGACCUCUAAGAUGGUUCCCCCCGCCUGUGAUUAUAACUACUGAGCAUGAAAUUUCUGUCCAAAAACCACUUCAACUUCCCUUAACCUACACACACACACACGUAUGAACAGAUGAAAACUGUGCAAGCGUUUUGACGUGGAUCUGAUCAACGCUGUCAACUCCAGUAAGAAGUCCGUGGCUCAGGAAGGUCGAAGCGUCAUAUCAGAAGAUGUAGGCUUUGAGAGACUGGAGAGAGGCCAAUUACGCAAGUCUGUGGAGGUAACUUCUCUGGCACCCUUUUUACUGAACAAAGGAUGUUUUUUCCUGGUCUCCCUCCAGCCUCUCUAUGAACCGUAAAAGUCUAUCUUCAAAUACAAAGGGAGCCGCUUCCUACAGCGUGAAAGUGAGCUAGGUACAAAAUGGAGCCUAACGACCUCGACCCCUU